GACGAGAAGGAAAUUCGAUUUACGGUUACUCUUGUUACGACUUCGCCCCAAUCACCCUCCUCACCUUCAUUAUUCGCCCCCUAUUCGGUUAGCUGAAAUAAUUUCGGGUGCGGACGGCUCUCAUGGCGUGACGGGCGGUGUGUACAAGGUCCGAGAACGUAUUCACCGUAUCGUUCUGAUAUACGAUUACUAGCGAUUUCAGCUUCAUGAAGUCGAGUUGCAGACUUCAAUCUGAACUUAGACGAAUUUUACAGGAUUUGCUCCACCUCGCGGUUUCGCGUCCCUUUGUAGCUCGCCAUUGUAACACGUGUGUAGCCCUGGGCAUAAGGGCCAUGAGGACUUGACGUCAUCCCCACCUUCCUCCGCGUUUCCACGGCAGUCCCGCUAGAGUGCCGGCUCACGCCAAGCAACUAACGGCAGGGGUUGCGCUCGUUCAAGGACUUAACCCGACGUCUCACGACACGAGCUGACGACAGCCAUGCAGCACCUGUGUAACCGCCUGUAUUGCUACAGGACCCAGUGUUUCCACCGGGUUGCAGUUACAUGUCAAGCCCAGGUAAGGUUCCUCGCGUAGUGUCGAAUUGAACCACAUGUUCCACCGCUUGUGCGGACCCCCGUCAAUUUCUUUGAGUUUUAAUCUUGCGACCGUACUCCUCAGGGGAUCACUUACGCGUUAGCUACGACAAGAUCUUGCUAGCAAGACCCCAUCUAGUGAUCAUCGUUACGGCGUGACUACAGGGUUCUAUUCUUGUUUGCUCCCACGCUUCGUUCUGACGUCAGUUGGGCA
Molecule: ribosomal RNA, 787 nt
Filed under: uncultured bacterium
Lineage: Bacteria
Description: partial 16S ribosomal RNA
Source: RNAcentral